GACGAACGCUGGCGGCGUGCUUAACACAUGCAAGUCGAACGGAGAAUUUAUUUCGGUAAAUUCUUAGUGGCGAACGGGUGAGUAACGCGUGGGCAACCUGCCCUUCAGAUGGGGACAACAUCCCGAAAGGGGUGCUAAUACCGAAUACGAUCACGCUGCCGCAUGGCGGUGUGAUGAAAGAUGGCCUCUAUUUAUAAGCUAUCGCUGAAGGAUGGGCCUGCGUCUGAUUAGCUAGUUGGUGGGGUAACGGCCUACCAAGGCGAUGAUCAGUAGCCGGUCUGAGAGGAUGAACGGCCACAUUGGGACUGAGACACGGCCCAAAACUCCUACGGGAGGCAGCAGUGGGGAAUAUUCCGCAAUGGACGAAAAGUCUGACGGAGCAACGCCGCGUGAGUGAUGAAAGGUUUUCGGACUGUAAAACUCUGUUGUUUAGGACGAAAAGUGCCUGUUGCAAAAUAGUUGCAGGUAUUGACGGUACUGAACGAGGAAGCCACGGCUAACUA
RNAcentral lists this ribosomal RNA (503 nucleotides) under uncultured bacterium. Its description in RNAcentral is "bacterial SSU rRNA". It matches the Rfam family "Bacterial small subunit ribosomal RNA", at positions 28 to 503 of the family's 1533-position model. The record is from RNAcentral.